This 478-nucleotide ribosomal RNA is filed under the name uncultured bacterium. RNAcentral's name for it is "partial 16S ribosomal RNA". It matches the Rfam family "Bacterial small subunit ribosomal RNA", at positions 28 to 507 of the family's 1533-position model. The record is from RNAcentral.
GAUGAACGCUGGCGGCGUGCCUAACACAUGCAAGUCGAACGGAGUCCAGCCUUUAAGACCUUCGGGUCAAAGAGGGGAAGACUGAGUGGCGGACGGGUGAGUAACACGUGGGCAACCUGGCUCAUAGAGGGGGAUAACAGAGAGAAAUUUCUGCUAAUACCGCAUAAGCACACACUGCCGCAUGGCAGACGGUGAAAAGAGAAUCGCUAUGAGAUGGACCCGCGUCUGAUUAGCCAGUUGGCAGGGUAAGAGCCUACCAAAGCGACGAUCAGUAGCCGAUCUGAGAGGAUGAACGGCCACAUUGGGACUGAGACACGGCCCAAACUCCUACGGGAGGCAGCAGUGGGGGAUAUUGCACAAUGGGGGGAACCCUGAUGCAGCGACGCCGCGUGAGUGAAGAAGUAUUUCGGUAUGUAAAGCUCUAUCAGCAGGGAAGAUAAUGACAGUACCUGAAUAAGAAGCCCCGGCUAACUACGUG